UUUAUGUUACUGAUAAGUGAUAAGCUUUGGCACUGCUGAACUUUCCCACAUUUACUUAUCAGGCAUUUAUUUACUUUUUAUCUCUGUGAGCCAGAAGCUCAGACUCCUCUAAAUGCUCAGUUUUAGUCUUUUUAAUUUUUUUUUAAAUUGGAUUUUAUUAUGUCAGUGAGAGCAUACGUUCCUAAUACAGUUAGCUUAGGUGUAUAGCACAGAAGCCCCACCCACCUGGUGGAUAAACCUUCUGUCUUCAGCCAAUCAGGGGAACGUUUGUUUAGAGAGAGGAGAGGCGCUAAAACAUCUUGUUUUAGACAGAAGAACUGUGUGAGAAUCAUGCACAUCCACUUGAGUAGUCCUUAAUCCUGUCUUCCUUCUCUCACCCCAACCGGUCGCAGCAGAUGGCCCCGCCCCUCCCUGAGCCUGGUUCUGCCGGAGGUUUCUUCCUGUUAAAAGGGAGUUUUUCCUUCCCACUGUCGCCAAAUUGCUUGCUCAUAGGGGGUCAUAUGAUUGUUGGGGUUUUUUUUCUCUGUAUGUUUUAUUGUUACCUUACAAUAUAAAGCGCCUUGAGGCGAAUGUUGUUAUGAUUUGGCGCUAUAUAAAUAAAAUUGAAUUGAAUUGAACUGAACUGAAUAAAUGAAUCUUUUGAAAGCUUCUAUCAUUUUUACAGCCAGAAAGAUGGAUAAACCAGGUGAUGUUUUUUUUUUUUUUAGAUAGCUGUUCUUUAUUCUGAGCUUAAACCUAUAAAAGAUAAACAGCGAGACCGUUUACAUUUUGUCUUUAAGUCUGAUCUUUUGUCAUAUAAUGAUGAAUAAAACGUUCUCUUUUUGUAGUUUUAAGAAAAUGAAAUUUUAAUUUUGGUGUUAUUUUAAUCUUAGUCUGUUUGGAGUGACUGAGAACAUCUGCACACAUCUGUCACACAUACCACAUCCCUGCUUAUGUUUGCUUAUGUAAACCCUACCCUCAUAAAUUUGCACCAGCUACAUUAUAUAAGUGCAUGAUGUCAAUGUCCCUGGUAUUCAAAUAUGUAUUGCAGAACACAGAUUGAUAAAAACCUUAUCAUCCUCAAAGUUCAUUCACAUGCAUUGAAAUAGAAACACAUAAAUUUAGCAACCUCUCUCA
This is a long non-coding RNA of Astatotilapia calliptera (eastern happy), 1116 nucleotides long. NCBI's taxonomy places the organism in Eukaryota, Metazoa, Chordata, Actinopteri, Cichliformes, Cichlidae. The record is from Ensembl.